GAUCCUUGGCUCAGGAUGAACGCUGACAGAAUGCUUAACACAUGCAAGUCUACUUGAUCCUUCGGGUGAUGGUGGCGGACGGGUGAGUAACGCGUAAAGAACUUGCCCUGCAGUCUGGGACAACAUUUGGAAACGAAUGCUAAUACCGGAUAUUAUGUGAGUUUCGCAUGAAAUUCAUAUGAAAGCUAUAUGCGCUGCAGGAGAGCUUUGCGUCCUAUUAG
Molecule: ribosomal RNA, 221 nt
Filed under: uncultured bacterium
Lineage: Bacteria
Description: partial 16S ribosomal RNA
Rfam family: Bacterial small subunit ribosomal RNA
Source: RNAcentral